RNAcentral lists this unclassified non-coding RNA (256 nucleotides) under Hevea brasiliensis (rubber tree). The record is from RNAcentral. Lineage: Eukaryota; Viridiplantae; Streptophyta; Magnoliopsida; Malpighiales; Euphorbiaceae.
UGUGCUUAUGCAGGAGGGAAAUGUAGUUGUUUAUGCAUCCAGGCAACUUAAACCACAUGAGAAGAAUUAUCCUACCCAUGACUUGGAGUUAGCAACUAUAGUUUUUGCUUUGAAGAUUUGGAGGCAUUACUUAUAUGGUGAGAAGUGCUAUAUUUACACGGAUCACAAGAGUCUUAAAUACUCGCCCACACAGAAAGAGCUUAAUUUGAGGCAAAGAAGAUGGUUGGAAUUGCUUAAGGACUAUGAUUGCAUCAUA